This 138-nucleotide small nucleolar RNA is filed under the name Ornithorhynchus anatinus (platypus). The record is from RNAcentral. Lineage: Eukaryota; Metazoa; Chordata; Mammalia; Monotremata; Ornithorhynchidae.
UACCUCUUAGGGUCUCACCUGGAGAGUUUCCAGUACUCUAUCAGUCUUGGCUAUGGUAUGGAGAGUCAAACAGAGGCCUGCCCAUUCCAUUCCUAGCUUGGGCAGUGGCUAGCGAGUGGAAGGCAAUCUGCUACGAGU